This 248-nucleotide long non-coding RNA is filed under the name Lotus japonicus. RNAcentral's name for it is "long non-coding RNA (LJAP_LNC001768)". Lineage: Eukaryota; Viridiplantae; Streptophyta; Magnoliopsida; Fabales; Fabaceae. The record is from RNAcentral.
AUUUCCAGAUAGCUCUCUUCUCUGCUUCGUUGGGAGGUUCUGGGAUUGGCACGCGCUUGGACUCAUCCAGCUUAAGCUCGGUGGCCAACGGAAUGGUUUGCUCAGGAUUGGAAGCCAUUGAAAGACGCAGCAAGUAUUUCAGAGAAGACGGAAGAAGAUGAAGUGAUGAAGUCUGGAAGAAGAAGUUGCAGGUUGGAUGAAAGAGUAAAGCUUGAACAAGGAAUACCAAGAGGGUAUUUAUAAACGGA